UAUAUUUUAGUGUAUGAUGCACUUUAAUUUUUGAUAUUAACAGAUAUAGUUUAAUUCUAUAAAAUAUAA
RNAcentral lists this transfer RNA (69 nucleotides) under Scopula lactea. RNAcentral's name for it is "tRNA-Gln". Lineage: Eukaryota; Metazoa; Arthropoda; Insecta; Lepidoptera; Geometridae. The record is from RNAcentral.